AAAGAGAGAAGAAGCUUGUACAAGGUUCCUGAAUAUACUGCUUGAAGAAGAUCUCUGCUAGUCGUGUCUCCCUUGCUGGUCGAGGUUGGGCAUGACAACUGGUGGCCCAUAUGGGAAACGAACAACAAAUCCACCGUAAAGGAAACCAACUCUCUCCGAGAUCAUAACUUCUUGAAGUCAGGGCAGAGCGAGUAAUGAGGUCUGUUCAGAGGUGGCAAGCAGCUAUGGUGAUAGAGGCAUUUGCAGCCACUGAAGCAGGACAAUCCCCUCAAGCCUGGUUUGCGGUCAUUCAGAAAACCUAGUUGCACCUUGCCCCUGAGUAUGUGUGAGUGAUCCUACCCAGUGACGGGCAACUUCCCUUCUACCUAAGGGUGGUGCCAUCCCAAGCUGUUGCUCCUGUGUUCUAUGUGAAAGCAAGAUCAUCAAUCCAUGUUGAGAAAGACAACAAACACCCCCUUUCCAUGGUAUCUCUGCACAGCAAUAAAAGGUUAAAAAAAUGGAGUGUUAUUUUAUUCAAUAUUUGAAACUGGUACUAAAUAAGGAUGUUCCAAUAAAAGUAUGGAUAGAUACACUAAUAGUAGUUUAAUAAAAUAAAAAUUUCAAAAUAGAAUAUAUUACUUCAAUAAAGUACUUACCUAAGCAAUUAAGGGAAGCUGAAAAAUUUGUUGUGCACAGAUCAAAUGAAGAUCAUCUUCUAUAACCAGUGUAAGAUAUAAGGAUUUACCAAUUUACAUGUACUAGUAGCAGUGAAUAUAUUUCAGAAUAUAUUUUGGUUAUAUGCAUUUUAUUCUGGGUUGGCUUGUCACCAACUUACAAUUAUCCAACAGUGUUACUUGUUUGUUUUUGCCUUAUAUUUUUAAAUGUAAAUGAGUUGAAAGGGGUUAAACAAAUACUUGUGUGUAUUUGAAGCAAAAAAGAAGUUGUUUUCUAGAAAUUGAUCACUGUGGUAUCUUAGCAGCCACUGAGCAGACUUUCACUCCUCUUCUGUCUUAUGUUCUGUAACUACAAUUUUUCUUUUGCUUCAUUUAGAAAUUACUAUUCAAUAGUUGAAAAAUGUCCAGACAAUGUGCACCCAAGUAAUUUCUUUCACUUGUUUCAAUCACAGAUUGAGUAUGAUAAUAAUAAAAUUACUUUUAUGUUUUGUGCCAUAAUUAAUCAUCCUGAAAUUUAAAUAAUGAAGGACAGUACUAUUAUGAAAUUACAUACUGCUGUUUCCAGCAGUAUUUGAGGAUAAGAAAGUGAAUACCAGUUUAUGAAUCUACAUUGUUAUUAUUAGAAUUAUUUUUGAAUUCUAAGGAAGUAAUUCUUUUAGAUGAUGAAUGAGGUUUGUAACAAAAAAGAAUAUUCAGGAAAGAACUUAGUUUUACCACAGGACUGUUAAUCUAGUGUGCUCUUUCUCCCUUUUUUCUCUCAAACUCCUUGUUUCUAGCUAUUAUAUUCAAAAUCCUGUUUAGAAAAUAGUGC
Molecule: long non-coding RNA, 1464 nt
Organism: Rattus norvegicus (Norway rat)
Lineage: Eukaryota; Metazoa; Chordata; Mammalia; Rodentia; Muridae
Source: RefSeq, a predicted model, not a curated record